UUGUAAGCCAGCUUGAAAUUGGAUAUGAGGACCCACGUGUUCAGUGGAACCACCAUCUUGCUUUCAUUGAUGUUAACUUCAUUACCCCCAGCCAUGAAACUAUGCUCUUUCAAAAUUCAAAAGCAAUAGCCAAUAACACGAAACAGAUCCUUUUAGAGACCAACCAGCUUCACAUACUGAAAACGAACAUAAAAGAAUUGAUCUUCACUCAGACUCAUGAUCGAAGAUUAUAAAACCCAAAAACGAAAGAGCAGCCUUUAAAAUUGCUAGUCUCUCCAGCUAUUCUUUCUUUCUUUCUUCUGCUUCCGAGUUUUUUUAAACAGAAAGAUCGAUAAACGAUAACAAUAAAUGGUAAAUCUCACUGCGAUAAAACUGUUUAAGAGAGAG
RNAcentral lists this unclassified non-coding RNA (387 nucleotides) under Hevea brasiliensis (rubber tree). The record is from RNAcentral. Lineage: Eukaryota; Viridiplantae; Streptophyta; Magnoliopsida; Malpighiales; Euphorbiaceae.